This 369-nucleotide ribosomal RNA is filed under the name uncultured bacterium. Its description in RNAcentral is "bacterial SSU rRNA". It matches the Rfam family "Bacterial small subunit ribosomal RNA", at positions 30 to 412 of the family's 1533-position model. The record is from RNAcentral.
AGCGAACGCUGGCGGCAUGCCUAACACAUGCAAGUCGCACGGUCGGGGGGUGACCUUCGGCAGUGGCGGACGGGUGAGUAACGCGUAGGGAUCUAUCCUUGGAUGGGGGACAACCGCGGGAAACCGCGGCUAAUACCGCAUGAUGCCUGAGGGGCCAAAGCUCGCGAGAGCGUCUGGGGAGGAGCCUGCGUCCGAUUAGCUUGUUGGUGGGGUAACGGCCCACCAAGGCGUCGAUCGGUAGCUGGUCUGAGAGGAUGAUCAGCCACACUGGGACUGAGACACGGCCCAGACUCCUACGGGAGGCAGCAGGUGGGGGAAUAUUGGACAAUGGGCGCAAGCCUGAUCCAGCAAUGCCGCGUGGGUGAAGAA